RNAcentral lists this ribosomal RNA (116 nucleotides) under Danio rerio (zebrafish). The record is from RNAcentral. Lineage: Eukaryota; Metazoa; Chordata; Actinopteri; Cypriniformes; Danionidae.
GCCGGCAGCUAGCUCUCUGCAACUCUCACAUGGUCGCCCACUGAAGCUAAGUAGGGCUGUGCCUAGUCAGUAACAGGAUGGGAGACCACAAGGAAAAUGUUAGGUUGCUGCCGGAA